Molecule: ribosomal RNA, 403 nt
Filed under: uncultured Rhizobium sp.
Lineage: Bacteria; Pseudomonadati; Pseudomonadota; Alphaproteobacteria; Hyphomicrobiales; Rhizobiaceae
Description: bacterial SSU rRNA
Rfam family: Bacterial small subunit ribosomal RNA
Source: RNAcentral
UUGGGGAAUAUUGGACAAUGGGCGCAAGCCUGAUCCAGCCAUGCCGCGUGAGUGAUGAAGGCCCUAGGGUUGUAAAGCUCUUUCAACGGGGAAGAUAAUGACGGUACCCGUAGAAGACGCCCCGGCUAACUUCGUGCCAGCAGCCGCGGUAAUACGAAGGGGGCUAGCGUUGUUCGGAUUUACUGGGCGUAAAGCGCACGUAGGCGGAUCGAUCAGUCAGGGGUGAAAUCCCAGGGCUUAACCCUGGAACUGCCUUUGAUACUGUCGAUCUCGAGUCCGGAAGAGGUGAGUGGAAUUCCGAGUGUAGAGGUGAAAUUCGUAGAUAUUCGGAGGAACACCAGUGGCGAAGGCGGCUCACUGGUCCGGUACUGACGCUGAGGUGCGAAAGCGUGGGGAGCAAACA